Molecule: ribosomal RNA, 504 nt
Filed under: uncultured bacterium
Lineage: Bacteria
Description: partial 16S ribosomal RNA
Rfam family: Bacterial small subunit ribosomal RNA
Source: RNAcentral
GACGAACGCUGGCGGCGUGCCUAAUACAUGCAAGUAGAACGCACAGUUUAUACCGUAGCUUGCUACACCAUAGACUGUGAGUUGCGAACGGGUGAGUAACGCGUAGGUAACCUGCCUGGUAGCGGGGGAUAACUAUUGGAAACGAUAGCUAAUACCGCAUAAUAUUGAUUAUUGCAUGAUAAUUAAUUGAAAGGUGCAAUUGCACCACUACCAGAUGGACCUGCGUUGUAUUAGCUAGUAGGUGAGGUAACGGCUCACCUAGGCGACGAUACAUAGCCGACCUGAGAGGGUGAUCGGCCACACUGGGACUGAGACACGGCCCAGACUCCUACGGGAGGCAGCAGUAGGGAAUAUUCGGCAAUGGACGAAAGUCUGACCGAGCAACGCCGCGUGAGUGAAGAAGGUUUUCGGAUCGUAAAGCUCUGUUGUAAGAGAAGAACGGGUGUGAGAGUGGAAAGUGCACACUGUGACGGUAUCUUACCAGAAAGGGACGGCUAACUACGU